CUAGUGUACUCGCAGAGGGUGCGGAGCACCCUAACUCGCACACGCGCGCGCGCGUGGCGUGGGCGAUGGACGCAAUGUGGCGCUUUGAUGGCGCACUUUGCACUUCGCUCGCAACGCCGCAAGCCGCAUGGCGCAUGACCCAGGUAGGUCUGCGCGCAGUGGCGGAUGAGCGCGUCCGCGCAUGGUGCAUGACCAGCUGGCCUGCGCACUGGCGCAUGGACUGGUGUGACGUGCGCGACGCACCAAGUGAGCCAAUACGGCGCGUCUGUGUGGCGUGAUCGUAUAGGCUCACUUGUGACGUGGCGCACGCGCGCAUGAGCGUGCAGACUAGUAAGCGCGUGAAAGUGAGCCAAAACGGCGCACGCACGCAUGAGCGUGAAGACCUGAGUGCGCAUGAAAUUGAGCCAAAGAUGGCCCGCGCGCACCAGUCUGUCUUGCGCGCGUGCGCAGAAGCUUCCAG
Molecule: long non-coding RNA, 460 nt
Filed under: Helianthus annuus (common sunflower)
Lineage: Eukaryota; Viridiplantae; Streptophyta; Magnoliopsida; Asterales; Asteraceae
Description: hypothetical non coding rna
Source: RNAcentral